Gasterosteus aculeatus aculeatus (three-spined stickleback) is the source of this 1296-nucleotide non-coding RNA. The record is from RefSeq and is a predicted model, not a curated record. Lineage: Eukaryota; Metazoa; Chordata; Actinopteri; Perciformes; Gasterosteidae.
GGUGUAAUGAGGUGUGAUGAUUGUCGUUGGGGUAUAAUGAGGUGCGGUGGCUUUUGUCGUUGGGGUGUAAUGAGGUGUGGUGAUUGUCGUUGGGGUGUAAUGAGGUGUGGUGAUUGUCGUUGGGGUGUAAUGAGGUGCGGUGACGUUUGUCGUUGGGGUGUAAUGAGGUGUGGUGAUUGUCGUUGGGGUGUAAUGAGGUGCGGUGAUGUUUGUCGUUGGGGUGUAAUGAGGUGUGGUGAUGUUUGUCGUUGGGGUGUAAUGAGGUGUGGUGACGUCGUUGGGGUGUAAUGAGGUGUGGUGACGUCGUUGGGGUGUAAUGAGGUGUGGUGAUGUCGUUGGGGUGUAAUGAGGUGCGGUGACGUUUGUCGUUGGGGUGUAAUGAGGUGACAUGACAGAACUCGUAUGAGCUCACGGCCUCCACUAAUCACACAUGUGAAGAAUGUGACUUCAAUGUCUUGGUUCUCUUUUUAGAUUUUACCCCUUCCUGCUUCUCAUAAUAUUCACGUUAAAGGACAAUUCAUGCCCCUGCCUCCUGCUUCGUUAAAGUUUCCUGUAUCACAGCAUUCCCCUUGUGAUAAAUGGGGAUAUUAACCUCAAAGCAAAGGAGCAGGUUUAUUCAGGUUAUUCUGCCAGAGGAGAAUCUUUUCAUCAUGUUCUACCAGUGGGACUAAACCAAAUACAACAGGAUGUUCUAUUGUACGUGUCUAUCUGGUUGAUCAGUGUUCAGACGCCUUUGGAUGAACUCUUUGUAGAUAGUUAUGAGGAGCAGAAUCAAACCGGAAUCUGACCUCCGGCGUGGGGCGUCACACAGACGGUGGUGGAGCUUGAACCAGGCCACUGUCAGCUCUUCAUCAUCAUAGUCAUCGUGUGGUCUGUCUUAGUAUUUCCUUGAUUCGUGGCCGGGACUCGUUCGUUCCAAAUCAUCGCUCACACAGAGGGAUCACAUGUCCCUCAGCUCCUUUAAUUCCACAUCAAUGACUGUUUGCUGCUGCCUUUAAUUGUCCAUUUCAUUCUUAAAGACAUUUUUAAACUACACUGCAAAUUUUAUUUUAUUUUUUUAACGUCUCUUUAAUGACUUUCUUUUACGUUCAAUCAAUGUUCUUCACUAAAUCUCCUUGCUUGGAUGUUUUUAAUAGUUUUAUGCAUUUUGAGUUGCCUUGUUGUUGAAAUGUGCUAUAGAAAUAGAUUGCCUUGCCUCCCACUAGCGAGCAGAGAGGGGGAGGAGCCUCUCCUGAUAGGAUGGUUCUCCAAAGGUUCCGACAGAUUCAUAUUAAAUCAAUCAAUUGUAAUCUCUCA